RNAcentral lists this long non-coding RNA (765 nucleotides) under Zostera marina. RNAcentral's name for it is "long non-coding RNA (ZMAR_LNC001127)". The record is from RNAcentral. Lineage: Eukaryota; Viridiplantae; Streptophyta; Magnoliopsida; Alismatales; Zosteraceae.
UCUUCAAGACGAUACUAAAAAUUAAUAAUAGGAUGAAUAUUAUUAAAUAAAUAAAUAAUCCAUUAGAAAAAUUCACUUUAAAGUUUAAACUUUAGAGUUUGACCAAGAUAAUUAAAAUUUAAAUAAAUAUUUUCAUGUCAUUUUAAAAUACAUUGUCAACUUAAAUACAUGCGACUAUGUGAUAUUUUAAGAAUGUGAAAUUUAACAAAUACCUACGACUUGUACUCUGGUGUGGGAACUGGCUACUGGUUGUUCAAAUUCUACAUAGCAACAAGAUAUAAGAAGCGAGGAACAACUAGCAUACACAUGGGUGAUCAGAACAACAGAGGACCAAAAAGUAACCACUAGUUCAAGUAAGAAUUGUAAUAAGUUAACUAUGACUCUAUGAUGAAUAUGAGAGUAAGAUGGGAAGAGGCAACAUGUGGAGAUCCGAGAGUGGAUAGUUGACAACAUGGAAAUACCAAAAGAGGUGAUUUCUUUUUUACAGUAGAAUUUUCCUCGAGUAAAAGAUGAAAAAUUCGCAUAUUACGUAGAUAAUUCGAGGGUUUUAAUCUCGUUUUCAUUCUGAAAUUGAUAUUUAAAAUUUUUAAUGCAAAAAAAAAUUAGAAAAUGGACAAAUAAACCAAUCAGACUAAUCACUAAAAGUACACGCUAAUUUCCACUUAGAAGUUUGAAAUUGUAUGAUCCAAUGUUCAAAUCCUUAAAUCAUGAUAUUAAAUAAAUACAAUUUUUAAUUUUUGUCUAACCACCAAAAGAAAAGACAAC